This 398-nucleotide non-coding RNA is filed under the name Rattus norvegicus (Norway rat). Its description in RNAcentral is "Eukaryotic large subunit ribosomal RNA". It matches the Rfam family "Eukaryotic large subunit ribosomal RNA", at positions 1465 to 1888 of the family's 3401-position model. The record is from Rfam by way of RNAcentral. Lineage: Eukaryota; Metazoa; Chordata; Mammalia; Rodentia; Muridae.
AAAUCUUCUUGAGAAGGAACUUUGAAGGCAGAACUGGAGAAGGGCAUAAACAGUAGUUGAUCAUGGAUUAGUCAUUCUGAGAUAUGGGCGAGUGCCUCCCCCUUGGCAAUGGGAUCGGGUUCAGGUCCUCAAAUCUGGAGUGUCGGAGAUGGGCGAGGUGUCCAGUGUGGUGAUGCUCGACCUAUCCCAGAGAAGCUGAUGGGAGCCCCAGGGAGAGUUCUCUUUUCUUUGUGAAGGGCAGGGCGCCCAGGAGUGGGCUUCUCGACAGAGGGGCCCCUGUCUUGGAAAGUGUCACAGUCCGGCAGUGGUCGGUGAAAAUCCAGGGGAGAGGGUGUAAAUUUCACGCUAGGCCAUACCCAGAUCCGCAGCAGGUCUCCAAGGUGAACAGGUCUCCAUCU